GGACCCAUAGCUCAGCGGUAGAGCAUCUGAUUCCAGUGUUAAAGGCCAUUUCCAAAAAUUGGCUUAGACAACUGCCUCCAGAAGGUCAUCCGUUCAAAUCGGGUUGGGUUCA
Non-coding RNA from Xylaria arbuscula, 112 nucleotides. The record is from the annotation of a GenBank genome assembly. NCBI's taxonomy places the organism in Eukaryota, Fungi, Ascomycota, Sordariomycetes, Xylariales, Xylariaceae.